Molecule: ribosomal RNA, 460 nt
Filed under: uncultured bacterium
Lineage: Bacteria
Description: partial 16S ribosomal RNA
Rfam family: Bacterial small subunit ribosomal RNA
Source: RNAcentral
CCUACGGGAGGCAGCAGUGAGGAAUAUUGGUCAAUGGACGAGAGCCUGAACCAGCCAAGUCGCGUGAAGGAUGAAUGCUCUAUGGGUUGUAAACUUCUUUUAUAUGGGAAUAAAGUGUUGCACGUGUGCCUUUUUGUAUGUACCAUAUGAAUAAGCAUCGGCUAACUCCGUGUCAGCAGCCGCGGUAAUACGGAGGAUGCGAGCGUUAUCCGGAUUUAUUGGGUUUAAAGGGUGCGUAGGUGGAUUAUUAAGUCAGUUGUGAAAGUUUGCGGCUCAACCGUAAAAUUGCAGUUGAAACUGGUUGACUUGAGUACAGUAGAGGUGGGCGGAAUGCGUGGUGUAGCGGUGAAAUGCAUAGAUAUCACGAAGAACUCCGAUUGCGAAGGCAGCUCACUGGACUAUAACUGACACUGAGGCUCGAAAGCGUGGGGAUCAAACAGGAUUAGAUACCCUAGUAGUC